RNAcentral lists this transfer RNA (68 nucleotides) under Ischnura pumilio. Its description in RNAcentral is "tRNA-Phe". It matches the Rfam family "tRNA". From Rfam's summary of the family: Transfer RNA (tRNA) molecules are approximately 80 nucleotides in length. Their secondary structure includes four short double-helical elements and three loops (D, anti-codon, and T loops). Lineage: Eukaryota; Metazoa; Arthropoda; Insecta; Odonata; Coenagrionidae. The record is from RNAcentral.
GUUUGAAUAGCUUAAUUUAAAAGCAUUACAUUGAAGCUGUAAUUAUAGUAAUUUUAUACUUUCAAAUA